UACGAGGGGGGCAAGCGUUGUUCGGAAUUAUUGGGCGUAAAGGGCGCGUAGGCGGCGCGGUAAGUCACCUGUGAAAUCUCCUGGCUCAACUGGGAGCUUGCAGGCGAAACUGCCGUGCUGGAGUGUGGGAGAGGUGCGUGGAAUUCCCGGUGUAGCGGUGAAAUGCGUAGAGAUCGGGAGGAAGGCCGGUGGCGAAGGCGGCGCUCUGGAACAUUUCUGACGCUGAGGCUCGAAAGCGUGGGGAGCAAACAGG
This 253-nucleotide ribosomal RNA is filed under the name uncultured prokaryote. RNAcentral describes it as "partial 16S ribosomal RNA". It matches the Rfam family "Bacterial small subunit ribosomal RNA", at positions 524 to 776 of the family's 1533-position model. The record is from RNAcentral.